Molecule: ribosomal RNA, 253 nt
Filed under: uncultured bacterium
Lineage: Bacteria
Description: partial 16S ribosomal RNA
Rfam family: Bacterial small subunit ribosomal RNA
Source: RNAcentral
GACGUAGGGCGCGAGCGUUGUCCGGAUUUAUUGGGCGUAAAGAGCUCGUAGGCGGCUUGUCGCGUCGACUGUGAAAACCCGCGGCUCAACCUCGGGUCUGCAGUCGAUACGAGCAAACUAGAGUGUUGCAGGGGAGACUGGAAUUCCUGGUGUAGCGGUGAAAUGCGCAGAUAUCAGGAGGAACACCGGUGGCGAAGGCGGGUCUCUGGGCAACAACUGACGCUGAGGAGCGAAAGCGUGGGGAGCGAACAGG